AGAGUUUGAUCCUGGCUCAGGAUGAACGCUAGCGACAGGCCUAACACAUGCAAGUCGAGGGGCAGCGGGGGAGGUAGCAAUACCUUUGCGGCGACCGGCGCACGGUGAGUAACACGUAUGCAAUCCACCUGUAACAGGGGGGAUAACCCGGAGAAAUCCGGACUAAUACCCCAUAAUACUGGGCGCUCCGCAUGGAGAGUUCA
Molecule: ribosomal RNA, 203 nt
Filed under: uncultured bacterium
Lineage: Bacteria
Description: partial 16S ribosomal RNA
Rfam family: Bacterial small subunit ribosomal RNA
Source: RNAcentral